GAUCCUGGCUCAGAUUGAACGCUGGCGGCAGGCCUAACACAUGCAAGUCGAACGGUAACAGGAAGCAGCUUGCUGCUUUGCUGACGAGUGGCGGACGGGUGAGUAAUGUCUGGGAAACUGCCUGAUGGGAGGGGGAUAACUACUGGAAACGGUAGCUAAUACCGCAUAACGUCGCAAGACCAAAGAGGGGGACCUUCGGGCCUCUUGCCAUCGGAUGUGCCCAGAUGGGAUUAGCUUGUUGGG
RNAcentral lists this ribosomal RNA (243 nucleotides) under uncultured bacterium. RNAcentral describes it as "partial 16S ribosomal RNA". It matches the Rfam family "Bacterial small subunit ribosomal RNA", at positions 15 to 253 of the family's 1533-position model. The record is from RNAcentral.